RNAcentral lists this transfer RNA (70 nucleotides) under Cryptomonas curvata. It matches the Rfam family "tRNA", at positions 6 to 65 of the family's 71-position model. Rfam says of the family: Transfer RNA (tRNA) molecules are approximately 80 nucleotides in length. Their secondary structure includes four short double-helical elements and three loops (D, anti-codon, and T loops). Lineage: Eukaryota; Cryptophyceae; Cryptomonadales; Cryptomonadaceae. The record is from RNAcentral.
UUGUAGCGUAAUGGAUAACGCACCAGACUUCUAUUGUGUUAUCUGGGGAUUGCGGGUUCGAGUCCCGUCA